GGCGGCGGUCCGCGGGUGACAUGCAGUCCCUCAUCUCUCCGGUGACCAAGGCUAUCCUGGUGGCUUUGUUCAUCUUCGCCAUCCUGCUGAUCCUCUACGUGAUUCUGUGGUACAUCUGCCGCGAUGUGGAUUGCGACCAUGGGAUCUGAGCGGCGCCGCGGGGCCAGGGCUUAGGAGCCGGGAUUCACCCCGCGGGGCCGGGAGCGGCAGCGGGAGCCCCUCCGGGCGGCAGCCGCCGCCACCGCGGCCGAGCAGGGGAAGAGAAGGGGAAGGAAAGAAAAGAAGAAAAAAAGAAAAAAAAAAAAAAAAAAAGAAAGCGAGCGAGGGACCGAGCCGAAAGAGCCCGGAGGACAACUGCGAUCAAGAAACCAACCUGAGCUUGACCUUCAGAGACCAGGGUGACCCGGGUACUGUGCAACUUCACUUUCUUGGAUGAGCUGUGCAAAGCACCA
Molecule: long non-coding RNA, 452 nt
Filed under: Junco hyemalis (dark-eyed junco)
Lineage: Eukaryota; Metazoa; Chordata; Aves; Passeriformes; Passerellidae
Description: lncRNA (ENSJHYG00000018034.1)
Source: RNAcentral